RNAcentral lists this ribosomal RNA (477 nucleotides) under uncultured bacterium. RNAcentral describes it as "SSU rRNA". It matches the Rfam family "Bacterial small subunit ribosomal RNA", at positions 26 to 518 of the family's 1533-position model. The record is from RNAcentral.
AGGACGAACGCUGGCGGCGUGCUUAACACAUGCAAGUCGAACGGUGAACCGGGGCUUGCCCCGGGGAUCAGUGGCGAACGGGUGAGUAACACGUGGGCAACCUGCCCCAGACUCUGGGAUAACUCCGGGAAACCGGGGCUAAAUACCGGAUACGACGCGAGAAGGCAUCUUCUUGCGUGGAAAGUUUUUCGGCUGGGAUGGACCCGCGGCCUAUCAGCUUGUUGGUGGGGUAAUAGCCCACCAAGGCGACGACGGGUAGCCGGCCUGAGAGGGCGACCGGCCACACUGGGACUGAGACACGGCCCAGACUCCUACGGGAGGCAGCAGUGGGGAAUAUUGCGCAAUGGGCGAAAGCCUGACGCAGCGACGCCGCGUGAGGGACGACGGCCUUCGGUUGUAAACCUCUUUCAGCAGGGACGAAGCGAAAGUGACUGUACCUGCAGAAGAAGCACCGGCUAACUACGUGCCAGCAGCCGC